This 116-nucleotide ribosomal RNA is filed under the name Pteropus alecto (black flying fox). The record is from RNAcentral. Lineage: Eukaryota; Metazoa; Chordata; Mammalia; Chiroptera; Pteropodidae.
AUCUACGGCCAUGCCACCCUGAACAAGCCCGAUGUCUGAUCGCGGAAGCUAAGCAGGGUCAGGCCUGGUUAGUACUUGGAUGGGAGACCACCUAGGAAGACCAGGUGCUGUAGGCA